This is a long non-coding RNA of Asterias rubens (European starfish), 329 nucleotides long. RefSeq lists it as uncharacterized. Lineage: Eukaryota; Metazoa; Echinodermata; Asteroidea; Forcipulatida; Asteriidae. The record is from RefSeq and is a predicted model, not a curated record. The transcript has 3 exons.
AAUACGAACGAUUAUUUUUAAUCCUAUCUCGAGUAAGGACGAGUGCGUCCUACGUAUUUUGUUAGGAAAAGUUUGUUGAAAUUGACGGCAAGUCAAUUAAAACACAAGGUGACAGCAGCCUUACAAGGGAGUUACAGAGGCUAGACAGCAUAACAAAGUCUCCAAUCUACGCACAAUUCUCAGAGAGUCUUAAUGGACUGUCAACUAUAUGUGCUUACAGGCGUCUAACAGUCUGAAUUGGUUCAUCCAUCAAUCCUGUGUUCUUGAGAUGAGAAUGAAUGCUAUAGAGAGAAUCAAAUACUACAGCAACAUUGUGACUGAACACUAUA